GAGUUUGAUCCUGGCUCAGGACGAACGCUGGCGGCGCGCCUAACACAUGCAAGUCGAACGAGCGAGAGAGAGCUUGCUUUCUCGAGCGAGUGGCGAACGGGUGAGUAACGCGUGAGGAACCUGCCUCAAAGAGGGAGAUAACAGUUGGAAACGACUGCUAAUACCGCAUAAGCCCACAGCUCGGCAUCGAGCAGAGGGAAGAGGAGCAAUCCGCUUUGAGAUGGCCUCGCGUCCGAUUAGCUAGUUGGUGAGGUAAUGGCCCACCAAGGCAACGAUCGGUAGCCGGACUGAGAGGUUGAACGGCCACAUUGGGACUGAGACACGGCCCAGACUCCUACGGGAGGCAGCAGUGGGGAAUAUUGCACAAUGGGGGAAACCCUGAUGCAGCGACGCCGCGUGGAGGAAGAAGGUCUUCGGAUUGUAAACUCCUGUUGUUGAGGAAGAUAAUGACGGUACUCAACAAGGAAGUGACGGCUAACUACGUGCCAGCAGCCGCGGUAAAACGUAGGUCACAAGCGUUGUCCGGAAUUACUGGGUGUAAAGGGAGCGCAGGCGGGAAGACAAGUUGGAAGUGAAAUCUAUGGGCUCAACCCAUAAACUGCUUUCAAAACUGUUUUUCUUGAGUAGUGCAGAGGUAGGCGGAAUUCCCGGUGUAGCGGUGGAAUGCGUAGAUAUCGGGAGGAACACCAGUGGCGAAGGCGGCCUACUGGGCACCAACUGACGCUGAGGCUCGAAAGUGUGGGUAGCAAACAGGAUUAGAUACCCUGGUAGUCCACACCGUAAACGAUGAUUACUAGGUGUUGGAGGAUUGACCCCUUCAGUGCCGCAGUUAACACAAUAGGUAAUCCACCUGGGGAGUACGACCGCAAGGUUGAAACUCAAAGGAAUUGACGGGGGCCCGCACAAGCAGUGGAGUAUGUGGUUUAAUUCGACGCAACGCGAAGAACCUUACCAAGUCUUGACAUCCCUUGACGAUACUGGAAACAGUAUUUCUCUUCGGAGCAAGGAGACAGGUGGUGCAUGGUUGUCGUCAGCUCGUGUCGUGAGAUGUUGGGUUAAGUCCCGCAACGAGCGCAACCCUUACUGUCAGUUACUACGCAAGAGGACUCUGGCAGGACUGCCGUUGACAAAACGGAGGAAGGUGGGGAUGACGUCAAAUCAUCAUGCCCUUUAUGACUUGGGCUACACACGUACUACAAUGGCGUUAAACAAAGAGAAGCAAGACCGCGAGGUGGAGCAAAACUCAGAAACAACGUCCCAGUUCGGACUGCAGGCUGCAACUCGCCUGCACGAAGUCGGAAUUGCUAGUAGUCGUGGAUCAGCAUGCCACGGUGAAUACGUUCCCGGGCCUUGUACACACCGCCCGUC
RNAcentral lists this ribosomal RNA (1368 nucleotides) under uncultured bacterium. Its description in RNAcentral is "bacterial SSU rRNA". It matches the Rfam family "Bacterial small subunit ribosomal RNA". The record is from RNAcentral.